RNAcentral lists this ribosomal RNA (254 nucleotides) under uncultured bacterium. RNAcentral describes it as "partial 16S ribosomal RNA". It matches the Rfam family "Bacterial small subunit ribosomal RNA", at positions 524 to 777 of the family's 1533-position model. The record is from RNAcentral.
UACGUAGGGUGCAAGCGUUAAUCGGAAUUACUGGGCGUAAAGAGCGCGUAGGCGGAAGCUUAAGUGUGGCCUGAAAGCCCCCGGCUCAACCGGGGAGGGUGGCUGCAAACUGGGCUUCUUGAGGGCGAUAGAGGAAGGUGGAAUUCCGGGUGUAGCGGUGAAAUGCGUAGAGAUCCGGAGGAACACCAGUGGCGAAGGCGGCCUUCUGGGUCGACCCUGACGCUGAGGCGCGAAAGCGUGGGGAGCGAACGGGG